RNAcentral lists this non-coding RNA (243 nucleotides) under Bacillus smithii. Its description in RNAcentral is "T-box sequence". It matches the Rfam family "T-box leader". From Rfam's summary of the family: Uncharged tRNA acts as the effector for transcription antitermination of genes in the T-box leader family. T-boxes are found upstream of many aminoacyl-tRNA synthetase genes and some amino acid biosynthetic genes usually in Gram-positive bacteria. Lineage: Bacteria; Bacillati; Bacillota; Bacilli; Caryophanales; Bacillaceae. The record is from RNAcentral.
AAAUCAGCGAUGAGGAAGAAGAGUAACUUAUCGUUUCUGCUCAGAGAACCGGUGGUUGGUGUAAACCGGUGAGAAAUGAUUAGUGAAUGGGCUUCCGAGCUCCAAACCGAAAUGCAGACAAAGUAGGCUUUGGCGGGUUCCACUCCGUUACAGUGGAGGAUGGGUAAGACGACUACCCAUCCGGUGAGUGGAUUGCGUAAAAGCAAUCAACAAAGGUGGCACCGCGGGCUCCUCGUCCUUUGU